This 895-nucleotide non-coding RNA is filed under the name Nyctimantis rugiceps (brown-eyed treefrog). RNAcentral's name for it is "partial 12S ribosomal RNA". It matches the Rfam family "Bacterial small subunit ribosomal RNA". The record is from RNAcentral. Lineage: Eukaryota; Metazoa; Chordata; Amphibia; Anura; Hylidae.
UGGUCCUAGCCUUGCGAUCAGUUAAUACUUAAUUUACACAUGCAAGUCUCCGCACCCCCGUGAAAACGCCCUUAAACUCCUCCCCCCUCCUGGGGGUAAGGGGCUGGUAUCAGGCACAACCCUUUAGCCCAAGACACCUAGCUACGCCACACCCACACGGGAACUCAGCAGUGAUUAACAUUGAGCAUGAGCGACAGCUUGACUCAGUUAAAGUAAAAAGAGCCGGCAAAUCUGGUGCCAGCCGCCGCGGUUACACCACGUGACUCAAACUGAUUACUUUCGGCGUAAAGCGUGGUUAAAGUUCCCCAAAAUUAUAGCUAAACUAAAAUUAAGCUGUGACACGCUUAUGCCUAGGAAAACCAAAAACGAAAGUUGCUGUAACUAAAACAACUUGAACCCACGACAGUUGGGGAACAAACUGGGAUUAGAUACCCCACUAUGCCCAACCGUAAACUUUAACUUACACCCACAUCGCCCGGGAACUACGAGCAGAGCUUAAAACCCAAAGGACUUGACGGUACCCCACAUCCACCUAGAGGAGCCUGUCCUAUAAUUGAUAAUCCCCGUUUGACCUCACCAUUUUUAGCCUAUCAACCUGUAUACCUCCGUCGUCAGCUUACCGCGUGAGCGACUACUAGUGAGCUUAAUGCCCGUUCGCCAAUACGUCAGGUCAAGGUGCAGUAAAUAAAAUGGGAAGAGAUGGGCUACACUCUCUAGAAUAGAAGACACGAAAGACUUUAUGAAACCCAGUCAGAAGGCGGAUUUAGUAGUAAGGGGGGACAAGAGAGCCCCCCUUAACAUGGCACUGGGGUGUGUACACACCGCCCGUCACCCUCUUCAAAGCCCACAAGAAGUCCAUAACACACCUCAGCACCAUAGAAGAGGCAAGUCGUAA